RNAcentral lists this ribosomal RNA (492 nucleotides) under uncultured bacterium. RNAcentral's name for it is "partial 16S ribosomal RNA". It matches the Rfam family "Bacterial small subunit ribosomal RNA", at positions 29 to 507 of the family's 1533-position model. The record is from RNAcentral.
AGUGAACGCUGGCGGUAGGCCUAACACAUGCAAGUCGAACGGCAGCACAGUAAGAGCUUGCUCUUACGGGUGGCGAGUGGCGGACGGGUGAGGAAUACAUCGGAAUCUACUUUUUCGUGGGUGAUAACGUAGGGAAACUUACGCUAAUACCGCAUACGACCUACGGGUGAAAGCAGGGGAUCUUCGGACCUUGCGCGAUUGAAUGAGCCGAUGUCGGAUUAGCUAGUUGGCGGGGUAAAGGCCCACCAAGGCGACGAUCCGUAGCUGGUAUGAGAGGAUGAUCAGCCACACUGGAAGUGAGACACGGUCCAGAGUCCUACGGGAGGGAGCAGUGGGGAAUAUUGGAGAAUGGGCGCAAGCCUGAGCCAGCCAUACCGAGUGGGUGAAGAAGGCCUUCGGGUUGUAAAGCCCUUUUGUUGGGAAAGAAAAGCAGCAGGUUAAUACACCGCUGUAAUGACGGUACCCAAAGAAUAAGCACCGGCUAACUUCGUG